AUUGAACGCUGGCGGCAUGCCUUACACAUGCAAGUCGAACGGCAGCAUGGAGAGCUUGCUCUCUGAUGGCGAGUGGCGAGCGGGUGAGUAAUGCAUCGGAACGUACCGUGUAAUGGGGGAUAACGUAGCGAAAGUUACGCUAAUACCGCAUACGACCUGAGGGUGAAAGCAGGGGAUCGCAAGACCUUGCGUUAUACGAGCGGCCGAUGUCAGAUUAGCUAGUUGGUGAGGUAAAGGCUCACCAAGGCGACGAUCUGUAGCGGGUCUGAGAGGAUGAUCCGCCACACUGGGACCGAGACACGGCCCAGACUCCUACGGGAGGCAGCAGUGGGGAAUUUUGGACAAUGGGGGCAACCCUGAUCCAGCCAUGCCGCGUGAGUGAAGAAGGCCUUCGGGUUGUAAAGCUCUUUCGGCCGGGAAGAAAUCGCACAGGCUAAUACUCUGUGUGGAUGACGGCACCGGCAUAAGAAGCACCGGCUAACUACGUGCCAGCCGCCGCCGUAA
Molecule: ribosomal RNA, 504 nt
Filed under: uncultured bacterium
Lineage: Bacteria
Description: partial 16S ribosomal RNA
Rfam family: Bacterial small subunit ribosomal RNA
Source: RNAcentral